AACGAACGCUGGCGGCAUGCCUAACACAUGCAAGUCGAACGAGAUCUUCGGGUCUAGUGGCGCACGGGUGCGUAACGCGUGGGAAUCUGCCCUCAGGUUCGGAAUAACCAUUGGAAACGAUGGCUAAUACCGGAUGAUGACGUUAAGUCCAAAGAUUUAUCGCCUGAGGAUGAGCCCGCGUAGGAUUAGCUAGUUGGUGUGGUAAAGGCGCACCAAGGCGACGAUCCUUAGCUGGUCUGAGAGGAUGAUCAGCCACACUGGGACUGAGACACGGCCCAGACUCCUACGGGAAGCAGCAGUGGGGAAUAUUGGACAAUGGGCGAAAGCCUGAUCCAGCAAUGCCGCGUGAGUGGUGAAGGCCUUAGGGUUGUAAAGCUCUUUUACCCGGGAUGAUAAUGACAGUACCGGGAGAAUAAGCGCCGGCUAACUCCGUG
This 434-nucleotide ribosomal RNA is filed under the name uncultured bacterium. RNAcentral describes it as "partial 16S ribosomal RNA". It matches the Rfam family "Bacterial small subunit ribosomal RNA", at positions 29 to 507 of the family's 1533-position model. The record is from RNAcentral.